This 301-nucleotide ribosomal RNA is filed under the name uncultured bacterium. Its description in RNAcentral is "partial 16S ribosomal RNA". It matches the Rfam family "Bacterial small subunit ribosomal RNA", at positions 509 to 807 of the family's 1533-position model. The record is from RNAcentral.
CAGUAGCCGCGGUAAUACGUAGGUGGCAAGCGUUGUCCGGAAUUAUUGGGCGUAAAGGGCUCGCAGGCGGUUUCUUAAGUCUGAUGUGAAAGCCCCCGGCUCAACCGGGGAGGGUCAUUGGAAACUGGGAAACUUGAGUGCAGAAGAGGAGAGUGGAAUUCCACGUGUAGCGGUGAAAUGCGUAGAGAUGUGAAGGAACACCAGUGGCGAAGGCGACUCUCUGGUCUGUAACUGACGCUGAGGAGCGAAAGCGUGGGGAGCGAACAGGAUUAGAUACCCCCGUAGUCCCUGUCUCUUAUAC